AACGCGAAGAACCUUACCUACACUUGACAUCCCGCGAACUAGGCUGAAAGGCCUGGGUGCCGAAAGGAACGCGGAGACAGGUGCUGCAUGGCUGUCGUCAGCUCGUGUUGUGAGAUGUUGGGUUAAGUCCCGUAACGAGCGCAACCCUUGUCCUUAGUUGCCAGCAAUUAGAUGGGGACUCUAAGGAGACUGCCGGUGAGGAACCGGAGGAAGGCGGGGACGACGUCAAGUCAUCAUGGCCUUUAUGUGUAGGGCUACACACGUGCUACAAUGGGGCGUACAGAGGGUAGCCAACCUGUGAAGGGGAGCCAAUCUCAGAAAGCGCCUCGUAGUCCGGAUUGGAGUCUGCAACUCGACUCCAUGAAGUUGGAAUCGCUAGUAAUCGCGAAUCAGCGACGUCGCGGUGAAUACGUUCCCGGGCCUUGUACACACCGAGUAUA
RNAcentral lists this ribosomal RNA (440 nucleotides) under uncultured bacterium. Its description in RNAcentral is "bacterial SSU rRNA". It matches the Rfam family "Bacterial small subunit ribosomal RNA", at positions 958 to 1398 of the family's 1533-position model. The record is from RNAcentral.